AGAACGAACGCUGGCGGCAUGCCUAACACAUGCAAGUCGAACGAGACCUUCGGGUCUAGUGGCGCACGGGUGCGUAACGCGUGGGAACCUGCCUUUAGGUUCGGAAUAACUCCUCGAAAGGGGUGCUAAUACCGAAUAAUGUCUUCGGACCAAAGAUUUAUCGCCUUUAGAUGGGCCCGCGUUGGAUUAGCUUGUUGGUGGGGUAAAGGCCUACCAAGGCGACGAUCCAUAGCUGGUCUUAGAGGAUGAUCAGCCACACUGGGACUGAGACACGGCCCAGACUCCGUACGGGAGGCAGCAGGUGGGGGAAUAUUGGACAAUGGGACGAAAGCCUGAUCCAGCAAUCG
This 347-nucleotide ribosomal RNA is filed under the name uncultured soil bacterium. RNAcentral describes it as "bacterial SSU rRNA". It matches the Rfam family "Bacterial small subunit ribosomal RNA", at positions 26 to 396 of the family's 1533-position model. The record is from RNAcentral.